AUUGAACGCUGGCGGCAGGCCUAACACAUGCAAGUCGGACGGUAGCACAGAGGAGCUUGCUCCUCGGGUGACGAGUGGCGGACGGGUGAGUAAUGUCUGGGGAUCUGCCCGAUAGAGGGGGAUAACCACUGGAAACGGUGGCUAAUACCGCAUAACGUCGCAAGACCAAAGAGGGGGACCUUCGGGCCUCUCACUAUCGGAUGAACCCAGAUGGGAUUAGCUAGUAGGCGGGGUAACGGCCCACCUAGGCGACGAUCCCUAGCUGGUCUGAGACGAGGACCAGCCACACUGGACCUGAGACACGGGCCAGACUCCUACGGGAGGCAGCAGUGGGAAAUAUUGCACAAUGGGCGCAAGCCUGAUGCAGCCAUGCCGCGUGUAUGAAGAAGGCCUUCGGGUUGUAAAGUACUUUCAGCGGGGAGGAAGGCGAUGUGGUUAAUAACCGCAUUGAUUGACGUUACCCGCAGAAGAAGCACCGGCUAACUCCGUGCCAGCAGCCGCAGUAA
Molecule: ribosomal RNA, 506 nt
Filed under: uncultured bacterium
Lineage: Bacteria
Description: partial 16S ribosomal RNA
Rfam family: Bacterial small subunit ribosomal RNA
Source: RNAcentral